RNAcentral lists this long non-coding RNA (246 nucleotides) under Jatropha curcas. RNAcentral's name for it is "long non-coding RNA (JCUR_LNC000449)". Lineage: Eukaryota; Viridiplantae; Streptophyta; Magnoliopsida; Malpighiales; Euphorbiaceae. The record is from RNAcentral.
CGUAGUAAGCCUAACUUAUUUAAAUCUUACAUUCUAUUCAUAAUUAUGGAUUCAGGCCCAAUAAUUUAUUUCACAAAUAUAUAUCCAAAGUACAACCCACAUAAUAAAUGUCUAUACUCUAUUUGAUCAUUUACAACCCAGUUGGAAUACAAUUGCGGAACUCUACCUGUACAUUUACUUCAUUAUUUUCUCAUUAACAGUCUUCUAUAAUUAAUGUUUCAACUCCAUAGGACUUUCUUCUAUUAC